GGAUGUGAGGGCGAUCUGGCUGUGACAUCACUGUUCGCCAGGGUUGAUUCGGCUGAUCUGGCUGGCUAGGCGGGUGUCCCCUUCCUCCCUCAGUGCUCCAUGUGUGUCCCUCCUGAAGCUGCGCGCUCAGUCGAAGAGGACGGUCUUCCCCGAAUAGAGAAUGACCGGUCUUCGGUCUUCGGUUGAGGGUAUAUAAGUAGCUGCGCUCCCCUGCUAGAACCUCCAAACAAGCUCUCAAGGAAACUGUAAAAUAAGCAGUAAAGUUAUCUACAACCCAGACAACCACGUUCACAAUGU
This 297-nucleotide small nuclear RNA is filed under the name Erinaceus europaeus (western European hedgehog). RNAcentral's name for it is "7SK RNA". It matches the Rfam family "7SK RNA". Rfam says of the family: 7SK was discovered as an abundant small nuclear RNA in the mid-70s but a possible function has only recently been suggested. Lineage: Eukaryota; Metazoa; Chordata; Mammalia; Eulipotyphla; Erinaceidae. The record is from Rfam by way of RNAcentral.